This 465-nucleotide ribosomal RNA is filed under the name Vreelandella stevensii. RNAcentral's name for it is "partial 16S ribosomal RNA". It matches the Rfam family "Bacterial small subunit ribosomal RNA", at positions 338 to 795 of the family's 1533-position model. The record is from RNAcentral. Lineage: Bacteria; Pseudomonadati; Pseudomonadota; Gammaproteobacteria; Oceanospirillales; Halomonadaceae.
CCUACGGGAGGCAGCAGUGGGGAAUAUUGGACAAUGGGGGGAACCCUGAUCCAGCCAUGCCGCGUGUGUGAAGAAGGCCCUCGGGUUGUAAAGCACUUUCAGUGAGGAAGAACGCCUGGUGGUUAAUACCCAUCAGGAAAGACAUCACUCACAGAAGAAGCACCGGCUAACUCCGUGCCAGCAGCCGCGGUAAUACGGAGGGUGCGAGCGUUAAUCGGAAUUACUGGGCGUAAAGCGCGCGUAGGUGGCUUGAUAAGCCGGUUGUGAAAGCCCCGGGCUCAACCUGGGAACGGCAUCCGGAACUGUCAAGCUAGAGUGCAGGUGAGGAAGGUAGAAUUCCCGGUGUAGCGGUGAAAUGCGUAGAGAUCGGGAGGAAUACCAGUGGCGAAGGCGGCCUUCUGGACUGACACUGACACUGAGGUGCGAAAGCGUGGGUAGCAAACAGGAUUAGAUACCCGAGUAGUC